GCCGCAGCCCUUGCAUUAUGCGCAAAGCACAUCUGAUUUCAGAUUUUUAGGCGUACGUUGAUUUUUUUUUUUUUCAUUUGAUUAGGAGCAUGCAUCUUUAUUCGUUGUUUCAAGUUUUCAGACUAAUCUAUUCCUUUUGAAAUAGUAACGUUGACGAUGCCUAUAUCUUAUACUCAAAAGGAAGCUGUCUUAAACCAAUAAUUGUAGAUUUAGUUUCAGUACACUAAAUGUUUGAUUCGUUUUCAGUAUUUGAGUAUUUUUUAAAGGUUUAUACGAGUUUCAAUUAUGAUCACCUAUAUGAAAAUAAUCUUAGAACAAUAACAUUUCAAUAAUUUUGAGAUCAAUAUUUCGACAAGAUAAAUAUAGUAUAUCCCAUUAUAAUUAAAUUUUAUCAUAGAGGUGAUUUUAAUAUAAUAUAUUGAAUAUUAUUAUGGUACAUAUUAAUAUUAAUAUUAAUAUAUAAAUAACCCAUUAUUUUAUCAUAAAGGUGAUUUUAGUAUAUGUUGAAUAUUUAUUCUGGUGCAUAUUAAUAUUAAUAUAUAAUAAGCAGCGAUGUAAAUAAAUAAUUUUAAAAUGAAAUAUUAUAUAGAGAAGAACCUUUUUUUUUCUUAUUUAACGAACCCUUGUUUUGGUGGGGAAGGAUCGAAUAGUUUGCAUGGUUGACCUUCAUGCACUAGAAUAGAAGUUCUACGUUUUUUUUAACAAUAACUUCUACGUUGUAACUAUGUAUUAUAACUACUGUAUUAUUUAUUACUCCAUUGAUACCAAAAAUACACAUAUGAGAGAACAUAUGAGCUGUUCUCACAACUCAACAUUCCUCAUAUAUAUAUAUAUAUAUAUUAUAUGAAAUUUAAAUAAUCCUCUCUGUCAUUUCUGUUGGUUGGUUUUUGCCCUAAGGUACAAGUCUAAGUAGAGAAAAAAGUGAAGAAGAGGGCCUAACUCAUACGGUCGUUGUCGAUCGUUUGUCA
This 968-nucleotide long non-coding RNA is filed under the name Brassica rapa (field mustard). RNAcentral describes it as "long non-coding RNA (BRAP_LNC007432)". Lineage: Eukaryota; Viridiplantae; Streptophyta; Magnoliopsida; Brassicales; Brassicaceae. The record is from RNAcentral.